Long non-coding RNA from Oncorhynchus keta (chum salmon), 2073 nucleotides. RefSeq lists it as uncharacterized. The transcript is spliced from 3 exons. NCBI's taxonomy places the organism in Eukaryota, Metazoa, Chordata, Actinopteri, Salmoniformes, Salmonidae. The record is from RefSeq and is a predicted model, not a curated record.
UAGGGAUGAGUUAUAGGGAGGUCAAAUAGAUUAGACAGCACGUUGAUAUGCUUCUGUGUGAUCUAGAAACAGCUUUCUGCUUCCUGUCUAGGAAUAGGGAGUGACUGACAACAAAUGACUCAUGUGUGACGUGCUCCACUCAUACCGUGGGUUGUGAAGUACAGUAUUUGAGGGUGCCUUUCAGAUAGAUACAGUAUAGGCUAAAACUAUUUCUUAAAUGUGUUCUGUUUGAUCUUGUUUUGACAUGUUGUGUAACGUGUGCUCCACUGUGGGUUUGAGAAGUAUUUUCAGUCAGAUAUAAGGAAAAACUCUUUACAAUAGGGUACCAUUCAUAUAGAGUUUAAAGGGUUUAUAACUACAUUAAUGGUUAUUUAAUCAUUUGUAAAUGCAUUAUAAAUCAUGAAUAACAUAAUUAGAAACGCUUUAGAAAGUGUACCUUAUUGCAAAGUAUUAUCAAAAACGUUUCCUAAAUGUAGUACAUUUUUGUGUUGCGUAGCAGUUGAGUUGCAUGUGCUUCACUGAAAGUUUGUUCUUAGGGUACUUUUCAGUCAGAUAUAGGCUACAAAAUUGUAAUAACUUUAAUGAUUAAGCCAUUAUACCUGUUUAUACAUGCUUUAUAAGUUACUUAAUAUAUUAGUUUGUGUCCUUAUGUUGUACGUUUAAUCGUCAUACUCUUGUGACCAUUAAGUCAUGUCUUCACCAUAUUCUGAUCUCCUCCGUUAUUCCCAAAGUAAAUAUCCUCGGACAGCCGAGGCAUUACAUUUUUACACUUGUGAUCCAUAUACAGCCUUAAUGGCUUUUGAAUAUGAGACUUGAGGUCUCCAGUCACAAGAUAUAGCAACAGCCAGGCAUGGACAGUCGAGGGGAGGGUAGUCAGUCUGUCAGAAAUCUAAAACUAGUCUCCGGUAGCGUCCCUGCAGAAGGGGCAUAAUGCCCAAAACAUUGGUGUAAUUAAUACCCAUUAAAUAAUUGGGAUAUACUGUAUAUAGAGUGUGCAACAUUCUUUAUUUCAUUUUCUUUCAUACGUUUACUUUUCUGUUAGUCAGCCAGAUAGACUAGCCAGGGAGGACAGAGCACUGCAGGUAGUCAGAUCACUCAAUCAGUUAGUCAGCCAGAUAGACUAGCCAGGGAAGACAGAGCACUGCAGGUAGUCAGAUCACUCAAUCAGUUAGUCAGCCAGAUAGACUAGCCAGGGAGGACAGAGCAGUGCAGGUAGUCAGAUCACUCAAUCAGUUAGUCAGCCAGCCAGAUAGACUAGCCAGGGAGGACAGAGCACUGCAGGUAGUCAGAUCACUCAAUCAGUUAGUCAGCCAGAUAGACUAGCCAGGGAGGACAGAGCACUGCAGGUUGACAGAUCACUCAAUCAGUUAGUCAGCCAGAUAGACUAGCCAGGGAGGACAGAGCACUGCAGGUAGUCAGAUCACUCAAUCAGUUAGUCAGCCAGAUAGACUAGCCAGGGAGGACAGAGCAGUGCAGGUAGUCAGAUCACUCAAUCAGUUGGUCAGCCAGAUAGACUAGCCAGGGAGGACAGAGCACUGCAGGUAGUCAGAUCACUCAAUCAGUUAGUCAGCCAGAUAGACUAGCCAGGGAGGACAGAGCACUGCAGGUAGUCAGAUCACUCAAUCAGUUAGUCAGCCAGAUAGACUAGCCAGGGAGGACAGAGCAGUGCAGGUAGUCAGAUCACUCAAUCAGUUAGUCAGCCAGCCAGAUAGACUAGCCAGGGAGGACAGAGCACUGCAGGUAGACAGAUCACUCAAUCAGUUAGUCAGCCAGAUAGACUAGCCAGGGAGGACAGAGCACUGCCGGUAGACAGAUCACUCAAUCAGUUAGUCAGCCAGAUAGACUAGCCAGGGAGGACAGAGCACUGCAGGUAGACAGAUCACUCAAUCAGUUAGUCAGCCAGAUAGACUAGCCAGGGAGGACAGAGCACUGCAGGUAGACAGAUCACUCAAUCAGUUAGUCAGCCAGAUAGACUAGCCAGGGAGGACAGAGCACUGCAGGUAGACAGAUCACUCAAUCAGUUAGUCAGCCAGAUAGACUAGCCAGGGAGGACAGAGCACUGCAGGUAGUCAG